GGGGAUUUAGCUCAGUGGUAGAGCGCUUGCCUAGCAAGCAUAAGGCCCUGGGUUCAGUCCCCAGCUCCG
Rattus norvegicus (Norway rat) is the source of this 69-nucleotide non-coding RNA. NCBI's taxonomy places the organism in Eukaryota, Metazoa, Chordata, Mammalia, Rodentia, Muridae. The record is from Rfam.